UACGAAGGGGGCUAGCGUUGCUCGGAAUCACUGGGCGUAAAGGGUGCGUAGGCGGGUCUUUUAAGUCAGGGGUGAAAUCCCGGAGCUCAACUCCAGAACUGCCUUUGAUACUGAGGAUCUUGAGUUCGGGAGAGGUGAGUGGAACUGCGAGUGUAGAGGUGAAAUUCGUAGAUAUUCGCAAGAACACCAGUGGCGAAGGCGGCUCACUGGCCCGAUACUGACGCUGAGGCACGAAAGCGUGGGGAGCAAACAGG
RNAcentral lists this ribosomal RNA (254 nucleotides) under uncultured bacterium. Its description in RNAcentral is "partial 16S ribosomal RNA". It matches the Rfam family "Bacterial small subunit ribosomal RNA", at positions 524 to 776 of the family's 1533-position model. The record is from RNAcentral.